Homo sapiens (human) is the source of this 7593-nucleotide long non-coding RNA. RefSeq lists it as uncharacterized. The transcript has 3 exons. The record is from RefSeq and is a predicted model, not a curated record. NCBI's taxonomy places the organism in Eukaryota, Metazoa, Chordata, Mammalia, Primates, Hominidae.
AUUUUUGGCUUUUCUGUAUUGGUGUGCGGGGCUGCUACGUGCUCGGCUUAGAGAAUUAGAAGGGUCCGUCUCUUUUUGCCCACUGGAGUCUGGCACUUGGGGCACUGCCUCCCUGUUGGUGGUGGUGGUGAUGGAGCUGUAGGAGGGAGGCUAGCAGUGGGAGCUUCUCCUGCUGGGCUGGAAGACAAGCAGAAGGAAGAGGCACCACCGCAUGCUGGAGGCUGGAGCCACGGCGGCUUGCCUCGCUGCGGUUGGUGGUGACAUCGGAGACCGCAGCUACGAGCUAAAGCAAGCUCAGUACUACUGGUGAUUUGGAAAGUGCCUUCAUAUUGUUUUUGCCAGUUCUCACCUGAGAACCCUGCAGAUGCCCCAUGAGAGGCUGUGCCCUUUACAAGGAGUCUCCAGUGAUACAGCUGAUUUUCCUCCAUACUCUAAUCCCCUUCAUGGCUGCAGCAUCAACAGAUUGCUCUCUUGAAUCUGACCCCAGUUGUUUUAUUAAUUAUACCCCUUUUUGUGACACAGGAAGGCUAAGAUGAAGCUGUCUUGGAUGGAAAAGAAUUCGUUCUCCUCACAUGGAAUAAAGAUCUUGAAAAGUAUUUUUUCUAUGUAGGGUCUGUCCGGACAAAGUUCUGGGCAUAUUUAUCAGAGAACAGUUCUCCUGAUAUCAGAGCCAUGAGGGAAUCUGUUUGGAUUCUCAUCUUGAGAACCCAGAAGUUUCUGGAGGGAAAUUUCAUAAAAGUGUGGGGUGCGUGGCCCCCAGGAGUUCUUACCCUACCCUAUCCACACUUGUCUGCUAGGCAUUUAUGGAAUUAUCAUGUAACUGUUUCCACCAGCUUGUGCUUUCAAUGGAAGAAUCACCCAAUUUAUAAAUUUAGAAAAGAAACUUUAUUUCUGAUAAAUGGGUGAAGCUGCAGGAUGGCCAUCUUAACAGGCCGGAAAGCAAAGCCUCCCACAGAGACAGUGAGCAGGCACUUCAAGAGAGGGAAAGGUGAGAAAUGAGUUCAUGCAAAUGGAUUGGCCAAGUGCACAUACUCAGCGGGCUAUAGAAGGAGCUAUGAAUAUUCACAUGGUGGGCAGGCUGUCAUGCAUAAUAAGCAAACACAGAUGUUACAUGCAUUUCAUGUUUGCUUUGGGGCGAGGACUUAAGAACUAAACAAAUUACAGUUGGGCCGUGUACAUCAAAAGGGCUUUGUGCAGAGGCAGAAGGACACACAGUGCACAGCCUCCAUAAUUUGGCAAGGACAAGUCCAUGGUGAGUGGUCUCUUCUCAGGAGAAAGUUACUGAAAUCAGUCCUUCUCCAUUCAAAGCUCUUUUUAUGGCUGUGGAACGGGCACAGUUACCCAGUGUCUUGAGUUCCAUGAGCUGCAAAUAUUUUAAUAUUCUUAUCGUAGGACCAGUGCUUUUUAGCUGCUAGAGAAAAUGAAAAGCCCUGUGGCAGUUACAACAUAGUCUAUUUUUUAAGUGUAGGAGUGAGUGACUUAAUUUUUGCUUGAUGUGGACUUGGGUCUUGUUUAUAAUUUGGUAUCUUAUUGCCACAACAAGAUUGUUCCAUCAGUCUGAUGAUCUCUAUUUUAAUGUCUUUCUAGUUUUUGGGUCUUGGUUUUCCCUGCAAUUUGAUUUCUUAAAUAGAUCCAAGAAGUUAUUGAUAAUCAAUUUUCCAGGCUUUCAUUGUUGUAGGAAUGUAGGGGAUGACUGACAUGCUCUUUACAUAUUAAAGUGGAAAACAGAAGUAGCUUCAGAGAUCACCAUUGACCUGACAAGCAGCAGGAAUCUCAUCUCGUUAAGUGUAAGUGGCACCACAGAUGUAGCUGAACAUGCAGUGACACAGAAGACCCACACCACAGAACACAUGAAAAAUUUUAUGAUUCUGAGGUUUUCUCCAGGAAGCUGGAACUCAGGUGGUACUACAGAGAUGGACUCAGUUAUCUCUCAGGUGAUACUAUGUUUUGGAAGCUUAUUUCCACUCCUGCACUGGACUCAUUAGCUGCACCUCGACCAGCACACCUAAAACAGAAACUCUCAAUAAUUAAGCACAAAACUCACCAAUAAUAAAGCUGUCCCCAGAGAAGGUGCAGAGCAGGGAACUCUGCUUUUGGGAACAUGCUGGUGUGCAGGGAGUGUCAGGAGCGUGACCCAUUUCCUUCUGCUCCCCCUGCUGGCUUCACAGACAACUGCAUCCAGGAGCUUUAUGUUGCAAAGUAUAUAAAAUAUGUUAUAAUUGUAGAGAAAUGUAAUACACAGAUUAAGGAAUGAGGAACGUACAUGAAAUUAAACAUAAUAUUAUCACGGAUAAGACAACAAACAAAUAUUAAAAACCUGUGUGUGUACGUGUUUGAGAUAGUAUUCUUGUAAAUUAAAUCAUAAUUUGUUUAUAAAGUCCUUCAACUAUGUACAAAAUCUUUGCCUUUGAUUGCCACAAAGAUGAAGAAGGAUGUGGCACCAGGACUCCAGGGCCAUGCUAGUGAUUUCCCCUCCUAUCUCCUGAGGACACGGUGCUUCCAACUCUGAGGAUCAGGAUGCUGAAAUUGGCUGUGUGAGAAGAGAAAAUGGGAUUUUCUGUGGGAACAGACUAGUGUGAAUGUAACUUUCAAGCAAGUAAGUUUAUUCUACCAUGAGACACACAGCUAUCAUGCUGACUGUGUGUUGCUUUUGACAUUAAUAUGAUAUUAUCAGUAUUGGGUUGUUCCAUGGAAAAUGACCAAUUGUCUCAGAAUUAACUGGAGUCGUUUUCAUUUCAGUUUUUUCACACUUCUAGCUAAAUCACCUAAUUUUACUGUGUUUGAGCUUGGAAAGUUUCAGGGCGUGGGUUACAAAUGAUGGAGUGGAAGGUCUCCCAAGAGUUAGAUGUGGUUCUGCUAAAGGAUGACCCAGGAUUUGUCCAGAAGCUCCCCUCCUUGUCUGUCCCAGCACUUGCUCCUCAGUGCGCCCCAUCCUGCCAGAGUGCUGAGCUUCUCUGCGUUCCUGGACAAUGCACGUCUGGGGCAUCUGCUUCCUAGAUGUGCAUACAUAGGGCGGGCUGCUCUUCAUAAUGGUUGAGAGGGAGCUGGGCCUGGAUCCACCCAGGUGGCCCUACCACUGUGAACUGGGCUUCCUCCCAGCAAGGAGACAAGGUCAGUUGAGUGCCUUCACUUCAGACAACUACUAGGAGGUGAUUUUAGUCAAAUUGUCACAUCCUUUGUCUAUGUAAUCCAGCAAUCAUGCUUUUAAGUGUUUAUCUGACUGCAAAAGUAAGUCCACAAAGAAAACUGCACAUGAGUAAUUGCAAUAGCUUCAUUUACAUUUUCCCAAAACUAUAAACAUUCAGAAAGUUUUUCUGUAGGUGAAAACCAAACUGUGAUAAAUUCAUAUAAUGGAAUUAUAUAGCAAUGAUAAAGAAGUGCUAGCAAACCAUGAAAACACAUGAAUAAAUCUUAAAUGCAUAUUGUCAAGUAAAAUAGUCUGAUAAAGCUAUACAAUAUAUAAUUUAAUUUAUUUGAUCUGGAGAAGGCCAAACUUUAAACAAAGUGAAAAAAAUUAUAUUUGCCGGCAAUUUGGGGAGAAGGUGAGAAUAGAUUAAAAAAUAGAAGACUUUAAAGGAUGAUGAAACUAUUAUGUAUAAUAUUGCAAUGGUAGAUAUAUGAUGUCAUAAAUUUGUCAAAAUCCACAGACUAUACAGCAUGAAGGCUAGAUUUUACUUUACAAAAAAUAAAAGAUUAGGGACCCCAAGAUGGAAUGCAGAUCGUACAGAAAAUAUCUGAUGUCCUUAUUAAUGCAUGAAACAACUUUGUCGAAUAAAGUAUGUGAAAAAGGCUGCUAAAUCACUUUAGAAAUAGUGACACCAAUAAGACUAAAAAAUAAACCAUGUCAGCACUGUCCUCUAGUUGAUGAUGAUGUUCCACAAGGAGCACAGCUUACCAAUUGUGAUUCCACGCUACAAGAAUCCUAGAAUUGGACAACACGGGGUAUAGAUGGUGUGUGGUGGGAGGGGGUUCCUCACACUUGGAGUGGGAGGUUACAGACAGCAAGGAAGAACGGUGAGAAAUGUCCAUGUAGUACUGGAUUAGAGUGAAAGUGCUAGUAAUUUUGUAUGAUUGACAUAAUCUGCAUGCAAUAAAUUAAACGAAAAUACUUCUUUGAAGAAAGUGCAAAAUAGGCUAUGACCUAAAUAACUUUGGAAAUGAGGGAAUUCUGAAAGUCUAAAGUGUAAGUAAACUGCACGUAAUCACUGUACUCUAGUGGAUAAACAUGUUUCCGGCAGAGGUACAGCUUCACAAUUUUGAUUCCGCUAUGCACGUUUCCUGAAAUUGUGCUGCUAAGUAAUACUAUGGAAUAUGGUGGGAUGGAGUUCCUCAUUUGGCAAUGGGUGGUGAUUGACAGGCAAGGCAGGCAGGCUAGAAAUGUCCAUGUGGUAUUGUAAUUGGGUGGAGACAAGAAUGUGUUCUCAUUUUUAAUGUGUUACAGGUACGGAAGACUAGAUAUGUAAAUAGUCGAGAUGUAUCUCUAAACGUGGGUUAAUAAACACCUGCACAUUUUCUAAGCCAUUUAGUUGAGAGGUCCUUGAGGCACUUACAUCCCACUAACAGUAUAUACACCCAACUUCACAAUUCUCUAUUUUAAUACCAUUCUUCAACACCAGAAGCCAGUAAUCUUCAGAAAAACAGCAGAUUCUAUGUAUGGAAAAGAUAAUACGGAAAAUAAGCUUAGGAUUUCUUAUAAUACCAGAAAAUAGGGAAGUGUUCAAAAACAAAAGGAGGAGAUGUCAUGUAAGGAUACAGGAUCCAAAUUAAAUGAACUCCAAGCACAUAAAAAAAACUGUGAUGAUUUGAGCAAAAGCAUAAAUAAUGAAGCAUGGAUCUUCCUCAUAGUAUAAAAUAAGCAUCUUUAAGCCAAUACUAUUAUAAUAGAUGAGUAAAUAAAAUGUGAAAAGAAGGACGAAUCUUCCUUACAGAGUUAUUCAAAAUAUUUUAGGCUGAUAGUAUUCUCAUCAUGUAGGUGAGGUUUAAACACUCGUGUUGAUUGUGGUCUGAGAUUAUAGAGAUGGGAAAAAAAAUCACUGCUAGUUUAUUUUAUAACCAGUUUUUAGAAAUAAUGCCAAAAACAUGGUCUGUGAGUGAAUACAAUUAUUCAUGGUAAUGUAUCCAAAUUUGCAAACACACAUUUUUCUGCAAUAAACACUGAUAAGCAACUAAAAAGACAAAUCACAGACUUGGAGAAAAUAUUUUCAAGUAGCAUUUUUGUUAAAUAAUUUCUUUUAAUUCAGUAAAGAAUUAAAAGAAUUGAUUUCUAUAAUGAAUAUGCAAGUAAACUCAACAACAUUAUAUAAAAAUUGUUAAAUAUAAAUUUUUCAUUAGGGAUAUGAGCAUUGAAACAAAAAUUAGAUUCCAUUGCUCACCUAUUAGAAUGGUUAAAAUGCACAAUCCUCAUGGUGAAAAAUGGCCGUAAGAAUGUGAAAAAACAAGAACUAAUUUGCAUUUAUGUUGGGAAUCCCAAAUGGUGCAUGCACAAAAUGAAAUACAUUUUGACUUUUUUUUUAACAGAGAUAAAAGAGUUGAAAUAUGAUCUAGUGGCUGUGUUUCAAAAUAUUUAAAACACUGAUUCAGAAAUUGAUGUUUACACAGGAAACCAGCUUCUGCUCUCUGACAUAUAUCACCUGGUUUGUGCCAAGAGCAUUAACCCUGGGAGCUCCUCCCAAAAAAAUGGUUGUGCACAGGGGAGAUGUUAAGCUAUGGCUGCUCCUGGGACUCAUCGGAGAUUCCUGAUGGGCAUCUGUAAUCAGGAAGUCAUCAACAGCCUUGCCGGACUUAACUUGCUCCACAGGUUAACUAGGAAGCACCACCAAACUCCCACAUUUCCCCAUCACUAGUUGUAAGACUGGCAUCCUGGCCUGACAGUGUCUACAGCCUCACCCAGCCUCCUGUGUGUUUUUCUGCCUGCCUUACUUACAUCUCACUUUGGGACAAAUAAGAAAUUUUUUAAAUAAACUUUUCUAAUCUAGAGACCUCAGUGGUAGGCACAGAAACACAAAUAUAGAGAGGCUCCCAGGGAAACUGUUCGAUGGAGAGGAAGCCACAGACCCUGAAGGAAAGCGGCCCUUGACCUUCAACUGCACCUGCCCUGGGGAUGCCCCUAACUUCUGUGGGAGUGAGUGCCCUCUGCAGCCCAGGCUCCUUCCUUCUCUCUGCAGGAUAUUUUGCGUUUUGGCUGACACUGGUGUUCCCUCACUUGGUACCUUAUGUACAAUAAUACGAGGCCAUGUUCUCAGCUCUGACUGUUCAUUCACAGGUACAGUGAGUUCUUGGCAUUGUCUUUGGAAAUGGUGAAUCUGUCCUUCACAGAUUUUGAAUGGUAUAACUGAUUCAUCAUACUUCGUAUUUACUGCUCACUCCAGCACCUUCUCUGAAGCCUGGUGGACUCAGCUAAUUCAGUAGCUUCUCAUUCAGUAGCUACUAAAUUUGAAUCCACGGGCUGCACAGAAGACUCUCAAAACCCUCAGGCUGUCUCAGGCCUUCUCCAGACUCCACCAGCUGAACCUCACUUGACACCUUCACAUACAUAGGCAUGGUUAGAAACUGCCAAAUGUAUCCACUGUUCCUCUCACUCACAUCCACUUAUACUCACUAUCUCUAAUUCUCCAUGAAUAAGCUUUUAAAAUAGCAACAAGAAAAAUCUAGUAUAGCUUAAAGCCCAUACUGAAUCUUGUGUUCAGUACUGAUUACCAAGUGGAAACACCUGGAAAUCCCAGGGCUGGUACUCCUCUCCCAGAGAUGCAGGACCAGAACUGGGCUGUUUUUUAUCAGUAGAAGGAGAACCCAAUUGGAAUGUCUCCUACUACAUAGCAAGCUCUAAGGUGGGAUGCCUUAGGAUAGGACAGGGCCCAGAGCAGAUGUGAGACUCCUGGAGUUUAGUGGCAACAAAAGAGUUUAGAGAAGCAUAAUUACUUAAUAUGUGAUUGUGCCAUGAAAAUCACUUAGCAAUAUAUUUUACAUCUUUUUAACAUUUUUAAAAAUAUAUCUGCAUUAAGCAAACUUUAAGAGAUAUAAAGGGUGAAAUAGAAAAAAAUACAAUAAUGGAAAAAUAUCUUAAUAUCUCACAGACCCCCACAGUAUCUUAGCAGAAAUCGGAGGCAGUGGAGGUCACCCCACUUGAAUGAGAAAACAGCUGAGUUUGUAAAACUGCACUUGGCUUCUCCACAGGCUUUGAGGUGUGCAGGACCAGCCACUACCCCAGACUCAGGCAUAGCCCCAGUCUCUGCUCUUCAAUUUACACAACUAUACAGGUUAAUAAUAUAUUUCAGAACUUCAUAAUCACACAUACACAUACACAUACACACAUAUGCCCAGUACUUACAGGUACAUAGGGAAAUACAAAAAUGAACACAUCAAAUACCAAAACAAAACCUGAAUUUAUUUACUACUGUUAUAGUUAUUGAAUUUAAUUGAAAUUAUUUUGUUUUACACUAUGAUGUAGUGCAAAAUAAUGUUUUUCUAUGUGAUUGUUUCUCUAUCCCAAUGCCAAUAAACAAAUAUAUCUAAAUGCAUGUUUUGGUAAAACUAAAUGUAAAUGCCAUUCUUGCCAAAUACAUUAAUUAAAUGUACAUAGUAUUUAUGCAUAAA